GGACCCGCACAAGCAGCGGAGCAUGUGGUUUAAUUCGAAGCAACGCGAAGAACCUUACCAGGACUUGACAUCCUUCUGACAGGGCCUUAAACGGCCCCUCCUUCGGGCAGAAGUGACAGGUGGUGCAUGGUUGUCGUCAGCUCGUGUCGUGAGAUGUUGGGUUAAGUCCCGCAACGAGCGCAACCCUUGUCUCUAGUUGCCAUCAUUCAGUUGGGCACUCUAGAGAGACUGCCGGGGAUAACUCGGAGGAAGGUGGGGAUGACGUCAAAUCAUCAUGCCCCUUAUGUUCUGGGCUACACACGUGCUACAAUGGCCGGUACAAAGAGACGCAAGACCGCGAGGUGGAGCAAAUCUCAAAAACCGGCCCCAGUUCGGACUGCAGGCUGAAACCCGCCUGCACGAAGCCGGAGUUGCUAGUAAUCGUGAAUCAGCAUGUCACGGUGAAUGCGUUCCCGGGUCUU
This 461-nucleotide ribosomal RNA is filed under the name uncultured bacterium. Its description in RNAcentral is "bacterial SSU rRNA". It matches the Rfam family "Bacterial small subunit ribosomal RNA", at positions 917 to 1382 of the family's 1533-position model. The record is from RNAcentral.